RNAcentral lists this ribosomal RNA (436 nucleotides) under uncultured bacterium. Its description in RNAcentral is "bacterial SSU rRNA". It matches the Rfam family "Bacterial small subunit ribosomal RNA", at positions 958 to 1381 of the family's 1533-position model. The record is from RNAcentral.
AACGCGAAGAACCUUACCAGCCCUUGACAUCCCGGUCGCGGACUCCGGAGAUGGAGUUCUUCAGUUCGGCUGGACCGGAGACAGGUGCUGCAUGGCUGUCGUCAGCUCGUGUCGUGAGAUGUUGGGUUAAGUCCCGCAACGAGCGCAACCCCCGUCCUUAGUUGCUACCAUUUAGUUGAGCACUCUAAGGAGACUGCCGGUGAUAAGCCGCGAGGAAGGUGGGGAUGACGUCAAGUCCUCAUGGCCCUUACGGGCUGGGCUACACACGUGCUACAAUGGCGGUGACAAUGGGACGCUAAGGGGCAACCCUUCGCAAAUCUCAAAAAGCCGUCUCAGUUCGGAUUGGGCUCUGCAACUCGAGCCCAUGAAGUUGGAAUCGCUAGUAAUCGUGGAUCAGCACGCCACGGUGAAUACGUUCCCGGGUCUGUCCACCAAG